UAAGGUCCAUACAGCGUGACCUCGCGCGCCGCAUCGAAGCAAUCCACCGCGCUGCGCGUAGUCUAUUGUUCGAACUUUUUACUUUAAUUUCGCACGUGCUACCUGUUUCAGUAGCUGUUGGCAAGCAGCUUCUGGUUUCCCAUCGCGCACUUCCCGCUUCUCUGUAUUUUCUUUUUUUUUCUUCCUAGCACGCAGUCCACGGCUGCAGCUCGUCGCUGCCAGGCAACGUGAGAAACCAUUUCUUUCCCGCUUACAAAAGAGCAGCUGAGCCUCGGCAAUUUUGCCACGGACGCAACAGCAGGUGCCGGGGCUCAGAACCUUCUGGUGUCAAUCAUCGUGUCGCGAUGCUGGAAGUUGCAGAAAUCUCACGGCGAAUGUCAGGAUCCAAGAACGCUCCAGGAUACAUCAAUCGUGCAUUCAUCAUCGACCCUUCAGAUGAAGGCAAGAAAGACAUCGAAAACUGCAGCGCAGACGACGACAAAGAGAAGGAAGCCUCAGCGGCGCCCAAAGGGGUGCUGGCAAUAAUCCGCCAGAGCCGAUGGAUGCUACCUUUAGUCUACACUCACAUAUGGAUGUCGGCUUCCUUUUCAAUCAUGCAACCGUACUUCCCACCUUUGGCUGCUGCCGCUGGUUGGAAGCCUGGAAAUAUGGAUUCUUUUUCUCGGCCACUAAAGUUGCGAUGUUACUAGGAUCUGUGCUAAAUGAACGCCUCAUGGCUAUUGCAUCACCGCGAAAGUGCUAUUGUCAGGGCAGAUUGGUUUUCUGCUAUUUACUAUUCU
Rhipicephalus sanguineus (brown dog tick) is the source of this 779-nucleotide long non-coding RNA. RefSeq lists it as uncharacterized. The transcript has 4 exons. Lineage: Eukaryota; Metazoa; Arthropoda; Arachnida; Ixodida; Ixodidae. The record is from RefSeq and is a predicted model, not a curated record.